This 105-nucleotide small nucleolar RNA is filed under the name Olea europaea subsp. europaea. RNAcentral describes it as "Plant small nucleolar RNA R71". It matches the Rfam family "Plant small nucleolar RNA R71". From Rfam's summary of the family: R71 is a member of the C/D box family of snoRNAs containing the C (UGAUGA) and D (CUGA) box motifs. Multiple nearly identical copies of this snoRNA have been identified in Arabidopsis, and it is thought to function as a 2'-O-ribose methylation guide for 18S ribosomal RNA. The record is from Rfam by way of RNAcentral. Lineage: Eukaryota; Viridiplantae; Streptophyta; Magnoliopsida; Lamiales; Oleaceae.
AACCCAUGCUGAGGGCAUUUCCGGAGCAUGUUUUUAAAUCUAUUCCAGGCUUCAUCAAAUGAUUCAUUCUCCUUGAUUGAAUACUGAUAUAUCAUGUCUCAGCUU